This 493-nucleotide ribosomal RNA is filed under the name uncultured bacterium. Its description in RNAcentral is "bacterial SSU rRNA". It matches the Rfam family "Bacterial small subunit ribosomal RNA", at positions 903 to 1397 of the family's 1533-position model. The record is from RNAcentral.
AAAUGAAUAGACGGGGGCCCGCACAAGCGGUGGAGCAUGUGGUUUAAUUCGAUGCAACGCGAAGAACCUUACCUAGGCUUGACAUGAACUGGAAGAGUGGCGGAAACGUCCUCGCUCGCAAGAGUCGGUUCACAGGUGCUGCAUGGCUGUCGUCAGCUCGUGUCGUGAGAUGUUGGGUUAAGUCCCGCAACGAGCGCAACCCUUGCCUUUAGUUGCCAGCAUUUAGUUGGGCACUCUAAAGGGACUGCCGACGUUAAGUCGGAGGAAGGUGGGGAUGACGUCAAGUCCUCAUGGCCCUUAUGUCUAGGGCUACACACGUGCUACAAUGGUGAUCACAGAGGGAAGCCAAGUCGCAAGACGGAGCCAAUCCCGAAAAAGUCAUCUAAGUUCAGAUUGCAGUCUGCAACUCGACUGCAUGAAGUUGGAAUCGCUAGUAAUCGCGGAUCAGAACGCCGCGGUGAAUACGUUCCCGGGCCUUGUACACACCGCCCGU